RNAcentral lists this ribosomal RNA (460 nucleotides) under uncultured bacterium. RNAcentral's name for it is "partial 16S ribosomal RNA". It matches the Rfam family "Bacterial small subunit ribosomal RNA", at positions 338 to 795 of the family's 1533-position model. The record is from RNAcentral.
CCUACGGGAGGCAGCAGUGAGGAAUAUUGGUCAAUGGACGAGAGUCUGAACCAGCCAAGUAGCGUGAAGGAUGACUGCCCUCCGGGUUGUAAACUUCUUUUAUAUGGGAAUAAAACGAGGCACGUGUGCCUUUUUUCAUGUACUUUAUGAAUAAGGAUCGGCUAACGCCGUGCCAGCAGCCGCGGUAAUACGGAGGAUCCGAGCGUUAUCCGGAUUUAUUGGGUUUAAAGGGAGCGUAGAUGGGUUGUUAAGUCAGUUGUGAAAGUUUGCGGCUCAACCGUAAAAUUGCAAUUGAUACUGGAAGUCUUGAGUACAGGUGAGGUAGGCGGAAUUCGUGGUGUAGCGGUGAAAUGCUUAGAUAUCACGAAGAACCCCGAUUGCGAAGGCAGCUGACUAAACUGUGACUGACAUUGAUGCUCGAAAGUGUGGGUAUCAAACAGGAUUAGAUACCCCAGUAGUC